RNAcentral lists this transfer RNA (65 nucleotides) under Macromia amphigena. RNAcentral describes it as "tRNA-Glu". It matches the Rfam family "tRNA". From Rfam's summary of the family: Transfer RNA (tRNA) molecules are approximately 80 nucleotides in length. Their secondary structure includes four short double-helical elements and three loops (D, anti-codon, and T loops). Lineage: Eukaryota; Metazoa; Arthropoda; Insecta; Odonata; Macromiidae. The record is from RNAcentral.
GUUUAUGUAGUUUAAUAAAACAUUACAUUUUCAAUGUAAAGAUAAAAUAACUAUUUUCAUAAAUA